RNAcentral lists this ribosomal RNA (847 nucleotides) under Heptranchias perlo (sharpnose sevengill shark). RNAcentral's name for it is "partial 16S ribosomal RNA". The stretch from base 184 to 847 matches the Rfam family "Bacterial large subunit ribosomal RNA", at positions 568 to 1487 of the family's 2925-position model. Lineage: Eukaryota; Metazoa; Chordata; Chondrichthyes; Hexanchiformes; Hexanchidae. The record is from RNAcentral.
ACCUUAAAACUAGCCUAACCAGUCAUUAAACAUAACCUUAUUAAUUAAAUCUACACUCUUCAAAAAAAUUAAAACAUUUCAUAACUUUUAGUAUGGGUGACAGAACAAAGAUCCAAGCGCAAUAGACUUAAGUACCGCAAGGGAAAGUUGAAAAAGAAAUGAAAUAAUAACUAAAGUACAAAAAAGCAGAGAUUAAACCUCGUACCUUUUGCAUCAUGAUUUAGCUAGACUAACUAGACAAAGAGACCUUAAGCCUAUCAUCCCGAAACUAGACGAGCUACUCCAGAGCAGCAUGAAAGAGCGAAUCCAUCUCUGUGGCAAAAGAGUGGAAAGACUCCCGAGUAGCGGUGACAAACCUAUCGAGCCUAGUGAUAGCUGGUUACCCAAAAAAAGAACUUCAAUUCUGCAUUAAUCUUUAAACGUCAACUAAGAAUAUCUCCCAAAGACUAAACAUAAAAAUUAAUAGUUAUUCAAAAAAGGUACAACUUUUCUGAAAAAAGAUACAACUUUUCAAGGUGGAUAAUGAUCAUAUUUAUCAAGGACUUUUCCCCAGUGGGCCUAAAAGCAGCCAUCUGUAAAGCAAGCGUCACAGCUCCAGCCCAUAAUUAAACCUAUAAUUUAGAUAUUAUUUCAAAAUCCCCUUAAUUAAUAUUGGGUUAUUUUAUAAAAUUAUAAAAGAACUUAUGCUAAAAUGAGUAAUAAGAGGUUAAACCUCUCCCAACACUAGUGUAUAUCAGAAAGAAUUAAAUCACUGAUAAUUAAACGACCUCAAACUGAGAAAAUUAUAGAAAUUUAACAUUAAACCAGAAAAACCUAUUUAAUUACUCGUUAAUCCUACACAGGAGUG